AGAAUCAACGCUGGCGGCGUGCCUAACACAUGCAAGUCGCACGAGAAAGGGACUUCGGUCCUGAGUAAAGUGGCGCACGGGUGAGUAACACGUGAAUAAUCUACCUCCGAGUGGGGAAUAACUGAGAGAAAUCUUAGCUAAUACCGCAUAACACUUACGAGUCAAAGCAGCAAUGCGCUUGGAGAGGAGUUCGCGGCAGAUUAGUUAGUUGGCGGGGUAAUGGCCCACCAAGACGAUGAUCUGUAUCCGGCCUGAGAGGGCGCACGGACACACUGGAACUGAAACACGGUCCAGACUCCUACGGAGGCAGCAGUGGGGAAUUUUGCGCAAUGGGGGAAACCCUGACGCAGCAACGCCGCGUGGAGGAUGAAAUCCCUUGGGAUGUAAACUCCUUUCGAUAGGGAAGAUAAUGACGGUACCUAUAGAAGAAGCCCCGGCUAACUUCGUGCCAGCAGCCGC
This 459-nucleotide ribosomal RNA is filed under the name uncultured bacterium. RNAcentral's name for it is "SSU rRNA". It matches the Rfam family "Bacterial small subunit ribosomal RNA", at positions 26 to 518 of the family's 1533-position model. The record is from RNAcentral.